AAUAGAUACCCAGGUAGUCCAUGCCGUAAACGAUGGAUGCUAGCUGUUAUGGGUAUCGACCCCCGUAGUAGCGAAGCUAACGCGUUAAGCAUCCCGCCUGUGGAGUACGGUCGCAAGACUAAAACAUAAAGGAAUUGACGGGGACCCGCACAAGCGGUGGAGCGUGUUGUUUAAUUCGAUGAUAAGCGAAGAACCUUACCCAGGCUUGACAUCCUUGGAAUUUCUCCGAAAGGAGAGAGUGCCUUUGGAACCAAGUGACAGGUGUUGCAUGGCCGUCGUCAGCUCGUGUCGUGAGAUGUUUGGUUAAGUCCAUCAACGAGCGCAACCCUUGUAGUUAGUUGAAUUUUUCUAGCUAGACUGCCCUGGUAACAGGGAGGAAGGAGGGGAUGAUGUCAGGUCAGUAUUACCCUUACGUCUGGGGCUACAAACACGCUACAAUGGCCGGUACAAAGGGCAGCCAAGUCGCGAGACGGAGCAAAUCCCAUCAAAGCCGGUCCCAGUUCGGAUAGCAGGCUGAAACUCGCCUGCUUGAAGUCGGAAUCG
This 543-nucleotide ribosomal RNA is filed under the name uncultured bacterium. Its description in RNAcentral is "bacterial SSU rRNA". It matches the Rfam family "Bacterial small subunit ribosomal RNA", at positions 777 to 1334 of the family's 1533-position model. The record is from RNAcentral.